Molecule: small nuclear RNA, 234 nt
Filed under: Nicotiana attenuata
Lineage: Eukaryota; Viridiplantae; Streptophyta; Magnoliopsida; Solanales; Solanaceae
Description: snRNA U2
Rfam family: U2 spliceosomal RNA
About the family: U2 is a small nuclear RNA (snRNA) component of the spliceosome (involved in pre-mRNA splicing). Complementary binding between U2 snRNA (in an area lying towards the 5' end but 3' to hairpin I) and the branchpoint sequence (BPS) of the intron results the bulging out of an unpaired adenosine, on the BPS, which initiates a nucleophilic attack at the intronic 5' splice site, thus starting the first of two transesterification reactions that mediate splicing.
Source: Rfam by way of RNAcentral
AUACCUUUCACGGCCUUUUGGCUAAGAUCAAGUGUAGUAUCUGUUCUUGUCAGUUUAAUAUUUGAUAUGUGGGCCAUCGGCUCAUACGAUAUUAACUUAAUUUUUUAAGGGGAAGAGUCUAUUAUGGUAGCUUGUUGCCUUUUUAAGGGGAAGAGUCUAUUAUGGUAGCUUGUUGCCUGGGCUCUUGCGCGUCGCCCAUGCGUUGCACUGCUGCACGGGCCUGGCGCGCCCCAC